This 69-nucleotide transfer RNA is filed under the name Halocynthia hilgendorfi ssp. n. KRK-2020. Its description in RNAcentral is "tRNA-Phe". The record is from RNAcentral. Lineage: Eukaryota; Metazoa; Chordata; Ascidiacea; Stolidobranchia; Pyuridae.
GUAAAUAUAGUUUAAUUAUUAAAAUAAGUUCUUGAAAAGGAUUUGAUAUAUUUUGGGAUAUUAUCUACA